CUUCACUACACUGACAAAUCCUCUGUGUGUAUCACAUACUACUCUUACAGUAUUCUCUUUCAGAUGCAGUCGGUCACUUCUUUAGUUCCUGAAUGAAUCAGUGAGUCGGUUGAGUAAAUGAAUCUGCGAUUCACUCGUAAAGAUCGCUUAUGGCAUCUACUGGCGUAACGAUCAGUCAUAGAGUGAGCCGCUAACAGCCCCAGCUCCUCAAAACCUGGACCAGACUUCCCCAGCUCGGUCUGAAACUACAGUUCUCCACUCCAAAGAAAACAGCUUCGCCUCAGGAGCUGCCUGAACUGCUGCUCGCAGGCAAGAGGAAACCCAGCUCGAUUCACGAGUCUCUGAAGGAGCAUUUUAAUUACAGGCUGAACUGAUGUUGGCUGAAUGAUGAGGACACCAGCACUGCCAUACGCACCAGCACAGAGCCUCUAAACAUAUGUACGUGAUGUGAAGACCUUGUAAAAGCAUGUAGCAGUAAUGGGCUCCAGAUGUCUUAACAAAGGACUG
Cyprinus carpio carpio is the source of this 507-nucleotide long non-coding RNA. The record is from Ensembl. Lineage: Eukaryota; Metazoa; Chordata; Actinopteri; Cypriniformes; Cyprinidae.